GAGUUUUUCAUGAAGUGCUUCUAUCUCGUUCCUGUUCUUUUCACAGGCCUCCCUCAGCUUGGCAUUCUCCUCUUCCAAUUCCUAUUCCAAUUGUUCAUUAU
Molecule: non-coding RNA, 101 nt
Organism: Cucurbita pepo subsp. pepo (vegetable marrow)
Lineage: Eukaryota; Viridiplantae; Streptophyta; Magnoliopsida; Cucurbitales; Cucurbitaceae
Source: RefSeq, a predicted model, not a curated record